Molecule: transfer RNA, 66 nt
Filed under: Oligolepis formosanus (Formosan arrowfin goby)
Lineage: Eukaryota; Metazoa; Chordata; Actinopteri; Gobiiformes; Gobiidae
Description: tRNA-Cys
Source: RNAcentral
AGCCUUGAGGUGUAAACACGCUUGAUUGCAAAUCUUUGAGUAGCAGGCUAACGCCUGCCGGGGCUU